RNAcentral lists this long non-coding RNA (435 nucleotides) under Gossypium barbadense (sea-island cotton). RNAcentral describes it as "long non-coding RNA (GBAR_LNC010455)". Lineage: Eukaryota; Viridiplantae; Streptophyta; Magnoliopsida; Malvales; Malvaceae. The record is from RNAcentral.
UCGAUAAUAAUUAAACUAUAUCAAUAAGGCAUUUACAAUCCAAAUAUAUAUCAACUGCUCAAUUAUACACAUUUGUUGCAAUUAUUUCAAGUAUUUAAAAGUUCGAUUCUAAUUAUACAAACUUACCUCGAUUUGCUCGGAUGAAAACUAUCGACUAUUCGUCUACUUUUCUUUUUCCCCGAUCUAAUUCUAACCUCGGUUUAUCUUGAUGUAUAUAAUAUCAAAUUCAGUACAUUCAGUAUUCAAUCAAUCCAAUUUAGUCCAUAAUCAUCUUAUGGCAAAGUUUACACUUUUGCCCCUACUAUUUUGACAUUUUUACAAUUUAGUCUCUUUUUCACAUAAAAUUGCAAAUUCAUCCAAUUAGACCCUUAACUAUGCUAGAAAAAUUUCAUAGAGACUCCUAGCAGCCCAUAUCUUUCAUUAUUUCAUAUUUUU